GCCCGGGUGGCGGAAUAGGUAGACGCACGGGACUCAAAAUCCCGCGCCAGUGAUGGCGUGCCGGUUCGAUUCCGGCCCCGGGCACCA
RNAcentral lists this transfer RNA (87 nucleotides) under Hydrogenophilaceae bacterium. RNAcentral describes it as "tRNA-Leu". It matches the Rfam family "tRNA". From Rfam's summary of the family: Transfer RNA (tRNA) molecules are approximately 80 nucleotides in length. Their secondary structure includes four short double-helical elements and three loops (D, anti-codon, and T loops). The record is from RNAcentral. Lineage: Bacteria; Pseudomonadati; Pseudomonadota; Hydrogenophilia; Hydrogenophilales; Hydrogenophilaceae.